AGCAGCCGCGGUAAUUCCAGCUCCAAUAGCGUAUAUUAAAGUUGUUGCAGUUAAAAAGCUCGUAGUUGAAUUUCGGGGUUAGUAGGUUGGUCAUGCCUCUGGUAUGUACUGGUCUCACUGAUUCCUCCUUCCUGAUGAACUGUAAUGCCAUUAAUUUGGUGUUGCGGGGAAUUUGGACUGUUACUUUGAAAAAAUUGAGUGUUUAAAGCAGGCUCACGCUUGAAUACAUUAGCAUGGAAUAACGAAAUAGGACGUUUGAUUCUAUUUUGUUGGUUUCUAGGAUCGACGUAAUGAUUAAUAGGGAUAGUUGGGGGCAUUAGUAUUCAAUUGUCAGAGGUGAAAUUCUUGGAUUUAUUGAAGACUAACUACUGCGAAAGCAUUUGCCAAGGAUGUUUUCAUUAAUCAAGAACGAAAGUUAGGGGAUCGAAGACGAUCAGAUACCGUCGUAGUCUUAACCAUAAACUAUGCCGACUAGGGAUCGGAUGAUGUUAAUUUUUUAAUUGUACUCAUUCGGCGUCCC
This 520-nucleotide ribosomal RNA is filed under the name uncultured Glomus. RNAcentral's name for it is "SSU rRNA". It matches the Rfam family "Eukaryotic small subunit ribosomal RNA", at positions 569 to 1089 of the family's 1831-position model. Lineage: Eukaryota; Fungi; Glomeromycota; Glomeromycetes; Glomerales; Glomeraceae. The record is from RNAcentral.